Long non-coding RNA from Danio aesculapii, 523 nucleotides. RefSeq lists it as uncharacterized. The transcript is spliced from 3 exons. The record is from RefSeq and is a predicted model, not a curated record. NCBI's taxonomy places the organism in Eukaryota, Metazoa, Chordata, Actinopteri, Cypriniformes, Danionidae.
CCCACUAAAGAGGAGCAGUUUAUUGAGGCAGAUUUUGAUAAAGAGAAUGGGUGCCAUACAUCAGACCUCACAUUAAAUCAGGGAUGAAUCGAGAGAUGUCGUCCUCUGUUGCUGGUCUAUCUGUAUGAAUAAGAGGAAGAGCUCAUCCAGGAGUGCAAUUGUGGGAAUGCACAGAGAAUUGCUGUCUGUCAGAGGGAUGACCAACCAUGAGGACUUCUGCAUUGUCUUGGAGGAUAAGUGAGUCAUGGCUAGCCUGGAAAAUCUAGAAUCGCUGAACUGGAUUUAUACAAAUAUUCCACAAAUUAAAAUCACUUACAAAGAAACGAAUAUUAAGUUUGCAAUACACAAAUUCUGUCAAAUAUUGUCUAAAAUGUGACUAUUCCUACAAAGGAAAGUUGACAGGUCAGUUUUUUCCAUGACAUGGAUAAAGGAAUUUUUAUCAGAGAUUAACAUUGCUGUAAAUUUUAUAUAGAUUUGUUUAACAUAUUGUACCAUUUUGUUAUCAGUGUAACAUGUAAUAAAA